CCUACGGGAGGCAGCAGUGGGGAAUAUUGGACAAUGGGGGAAACCCUGAUCCAGCGACGCCGCGUGAGUGAAGAAGUAUUUCGGUACGUAAAGCUCUAUCAGCAGGAAAGAAAAUGACGGUACCUGACUAAGAAGCCCCGGCUAACUACGUGCCAGCAGCCGCGGUAAUACGUAGGGGGCAAGCGUUAUCCGGAUUUACUGGGUGGAAAGGGAGCGUAGACGGCAGCACAAGUCUGGAGUGAAAUCCCGGGGCUUAACCCCGGAACUGCUUUGGAAACUGUGCGGCUGGAGUGCAGGAGGGGUAAGCGGAAUUCCUAGUGUAGCGGUGAAAUGCGUAGAUAUUAGGAGGAACACCGGUGGCGAAGGCGGCUUACUGGACUGUAACUGACGUUGAGGCUCGAAAGCGUGGGGAGCAAACAGGAUUAGAUACCCUAGUAGUC
RNAcentral lists this ribosomal RNA (440 nucleotides) under uncultured bacterium. Its description in RNAcentral is "partial 16S ribosomal RNA". It matches the Rfam family "Bacterial small subunit ribosomal RNA", at positions 338 to 795 of the family's 1533-position model. The record is from RNAcentral.